CUGAACAUCGUGUUAUACUUG
This 21-nucleotide unclassified non-coding RNA is filed under the name Chlamydomonas reinhardtii. RNAcentral's name for it is "small RNA Cre_1463". Lineage: Eukaryota; Viridiplantae; Chlorophyta; Chlorophyceae; Chlamydomonadales; Chlamydomonadaceae. The record is from RNAcentral.